GAUGAACGCUGGCGGCGUGCCUAAUACAUGCAAGUCGAGCGAACGGACGAGAAGCUUGCUUCUCUGAUGUUAGCGGCGGACGGGUGAGUAACACGUGGAUAACCUACCUAUAAGACUGGGAUAACUUCGGGAAACCGGAGCUAAUACCGGAUAAUAUUUUGAACCGCAUGGUUCAAAAGUGAAAGACGGUCUUGCUGUCACUUAUAGAUGGAUCCGCGCUGCAUUAGCUAGUUGGUAAGGUAACGGCUUACCAAGGCAACGAUGCAUAGCCGACCUGAGAGGGUGAUCGGCCACACUGGAACUGAGACACGGUCCAGACUCCUACGGGAGGCAGCAGUAGGGAAUCUUCCGCAAUGGGCGAAAGCCUGACGGAGCAACGCCGCGUGAGUGAUGAAGGUCUUCGGAUCGUAAAACUCUGUUAUUAGAGAAGAACAAAUGUGUAAGUAACUAUGCACGUCUUGACGGUACCUAAUCAGAAAGCCACGGCUAACUACGUGCCAGCAGCCGCGGUAAUACGUAGGUGGCAAGCGUUAUCCGGAAUUAUUGGGCGUAAAGCACGCGUAGGCGGUUUUUUAAGUCUGAUGUGAAAGCCCACGGCUCAACCGUGGAGGGUCAUUGGAAACUGGAAAACUUGAGUGCAGAAGAGGAAAGUGGAAUUCCAUGUGUAGCGGUGAAAUGCGCAGAGAUAUGGAGGAACACCAGUGGCGAAGGCGACUUUCUGGUCUGUAACUGACGCUGAUGUGCGAAAGCGUGGGGAUCAAACAGGAUUAGAUACCCUGGUAGUCCACGCCGUAAACGAUGAGUGCUAAGUGUUAGGGGGUUUCCGCCCCUUAGUGCUGCAGCUAACGCAUUAAGCACUCCGCCUGGGGAGUACGACCGCAAGGUUGAAACUCAAAGGAAUUGACGGGGACCCGCACAAGCGGUGGAGCAUGUGGUUUAAUUCGAAGCAACGCGAAGAACCUUACCAAAUCUUGACAUCCUCUGACCCCUCUAGAGAUAGAGUUUUCCCCUUCGGGGGACAGAGUGACAGGUGGUGCAUGGUUGUCGUCAGCUCGUGUCGUGAGAUGUUGGGUUAAGUCCCGCAACGAGCGCAACCCUUAAGCUUAGUUGCCAUCAUUAAGUUGGGCACUCUAAGUUGACUGCCGGUGACAAACCGGAGGAAGGUGGGGAUGACGUCAAAUCAUCAUGCCCCUUAUGAUUUGGGCUACACACGUGCUACAAUGGACAAUACAAAGGGCAGCGAAACUGCGAGGUCAAGCAAAUCCCAUAAAGUUGUUCUCAGUUCGGAUUGUAGUCUGCAACUCGACUAUAUGAAGCUGGAAUCGCUAGUAAUCGUAGAUCAGCAUGCUACGGUGAAUACGUUCCCGGGUCU
Molecule: ribosomal RNA, 1372 nt
Filed under: uncultured bacterium
Lineage: Bacteria
Description: bacterial SSU rRNA
Rfam family: Bacterial small subunit ribosomal RNA
Source: RNAcentral